UAAUACCAGCACCCCGAGUGGUCGGGACGAUUAUUGGGCCUAAAGCAUCCGUAGCCGGUUCUACAAGUCUUCCGUUAAAUCCACCUGCUUAACAGUUGGGCUGCAGAGGAUACUAUAGAGCUAGGAGGCGGGAGAGGCAAGCGGUACUUAGUGGGUAGGGGUAAAAUCCGUUGAUCCACUGAAGACCACCAGUGGCGAAGGCGG
Molecule: ribosomal RNA, 204 nt
Filed under: uncultured ammonia-oxidizing archaeon
Lineage: Archaea
Description: partial 16S ribosomal RNA
Rfam family: Archaeal small subunit ribosomal RNA
Source: RNAcentral